Oncorhynchus gorbuscha (pink salmon) is the source of this 1499-nucleotide long non-coding RNA. RefSeq lists it as uncharacterized. The record is from RefSeq and is a predicted model, not a curated record. The transcript is spliced from 4 exons. NCBI's taxonomy places the organism in Eukaryota, Metazoa, Chordata, Actinopteri, Salmoniformes, Salmonidae.
GCUGCACUUUAUGACAAGUAGCCUAUACAGCAUAUCCUGUCUCCAGGCUUCCGUAAUGUUUCUGUGUCUCUGUGUUCAUUGUGGCUUUUUUUUUGUACUCUGUUCUACAGUAUGAAGUUAUAUGAUUACAGGAAAACAGGGGUUGUUCAUUUUCAUCUGUAGUUGACACUGAACGAGAACAAUCUACAGAAUCAUGUGCAAACUUCCCCUUUGGUGUUCUAUAGUAUUGCUGUUAUUCCCAGUUCCUGCAAAUGCCAGGGUGUGGAUGAACCAGUGGUCCUCAAAGAAUGCUUACAUAGUAGGGGAAACAGCUGCUCUUUAUUGCAACAUAACCUCAGAUCAUGAGGAAAUAAGAAAUUGCAAAAUGAGAUGGAUCAUUGAAGAUCAAGGUGAUGUCACAAGUUUGGAGUUAUAUACGCAUCGUGUCAACAUGAAUUUGAGCAAAACAGCUACUACUAUGACAUUGAGAAACCUGACCUUGAGAGACACCAUUAUGCCAAUUUGCAUCGCAAUGUGCAUCAUUGACAGUGUCAACAGCAAGGUUUAUGGGGAGGGUGGCACACUUCACAUUUUUGAAGACAUCAACCAGAUGACCCUGGUCUCAAAGUUGACAACACUGGUCCCAGAGUUGACAACACUGGUCCCAAAGGAAAUCAAACAGGAACAUGCUCUCACUUGGCUGAACCAUGUUUUUCUCAGCAUAAACAUCCUGAUUUUCAUUGUGGCCACAAUUAUUUGUGUGUCAUACAUCAGAUCCCAAAUGAAUAUGAAUUAAAAAGGGAUUGCAUUAGUUGUUAAAAUAUUGCCUGAAGCACCCUUCCAAGUUAUAGCCUCAAGCCUAUGCUCUAACACCUUUAGUAAACUGUCAACUGUGAUUUGAAACGUUUUCGGAACAAUAGCUUUCUUCACGCACUGCAUUUUAUUGUGUUUUUAGGCCUGUUCAUAUUUUAUUACUCUAAUGAAUAGAAUGUAUGGAUGAAUGUAUGGCUACUGAUAUAUUUUUUACUGUCUUGUAUUAUUAUCUGAAAACAAACUAGGUAAAGGUGAAAGGUGACAAGCAUCUGGUAAAUGCAUUCCAGAUUAGAGUGAGCAAAAGACUACAUUUGAUUUACUUUCCUUUAGUAUCCAUGUGGACAUUUUGAAUACAGUUGACAUAUAUUAAUUUAAUCGUGUAUCCUAAUCAUAAUCAUUGCUAUUGAUAGAAUAUAGAUUAAAGUUGAUAAAGUUUAGACUAUUUUUCACGUCUGCUCCUGCUCUUCCCCCCAGGUGCUUGAGGGUGCCAGGCUGCCCUGCAUCACUCACUCCUAUCAUCCACUACGCACACCUGCCUUCCCUUGUCACGCGCUUCAGCUAUAUUGGACUCACUUAUCUGUUUAUUACCUCGCCUAUAUUUGUGAGUUUCCCUACUGAUGCAUUGAUUGUUUUUUGUCUGUAUUAUUAGUUUACUGACGCUGUUCCUGUCUCAUGUCCGUUCUUUAUUAAAUGUUUGACUCCCCGUA